AUACGAAGGGGGCUAGCGUUGUUCGGAAUUACUGGGCGUAAAGCGCGCGUAGGCGGACUGAUCAGUUGGGGGUGAAAUCCCAGGGCUUAACCCUGGAACUGCCUCUAAUACUGCCAGUCUUGAGUUCGGGAGAGGUGAGUGGAAUUCCUAGUGUAGAGGUGAAAUUCGUAGAUAUUAGGAAGAACACCAGUGGCGAAGGCGGCUCACUGGCCCGAUACUGACGCUCAGGCGCGAAAGCGUGGGGAGCAAACAGGAUUAGAAACCCUAGUAGUCC
RNAcentral lists this ribosomal RNA (274 nucleotides) under uncultured bacterium. Its description in RNAcentral is "partial 16S ribosomal RNA". It matches the Rfam family "Bacterial small subunit ribosomal RNA", at positions 523 to 796 of the family's 1533-position model. The record is from RNAcentral.